UUACGGGAGGCAGCAGUAGGGAAUCUUCCACAAUGGACGAAAGUCUGAUGGAGCAACGCCGCGUGAGUGAAGAAGGGUUUCGGCUCGUAAAGCUCUGUUGGUAGUGAAGAAAGAUAGAGGUAGUAACUGGCCUUUAUUGAC
Molecule: ribosomal RNA, 141 nt
Filed under: uncultured Bacillus sp.
Lineage: Bacteria; Bacillati; Bacillota; Bacilli; Caryophanales; Bacillaceae
Description: partial 16S ribosomal RNA
Rfam family: Bacterial small subunit ribosomal RNA
Source: RNAcentral